RNAcentral lists this ribosomal RNA (1343 nucleotides) under uncultured bacterium. RNAcentral's name for it is "16S ribosomal RNA". It matches the Rfam family "Bacterial small subunit ribosomal RNA", at positions 28 to 1378 of the family's 1533-position model. The record is from RNAcentral.
GACGAACGCUGGCGGCGUGCUUAACACAUGCAAGUCGAACGGAAAGGCCCUGCUUUUGUGGGGUGCUCGAGUGGCGAACGGGUGAGUAACACGUGAGUAACCUGCCCUUGACUUUGGGAUAACUUCAGGAAACUGGGGCUAAUACCGGAUAGGAGCUCCUGCUGCAUGGUGGGGGUUGGAAAGUUUCGGCGGUUGGGGAUGGACUCGCGGCUUAUCAGCUUGUUGGUGGGGUAGUGGCUUACCAAGGCUUUGACGGGUAGCCGGCCUGAGAGGGUGACCGGCCACAUUGGGACUGAGAUACGGCCCGGACUCCUACGGGAGGCAGCAGUGGGGAAUAUUGCACAAUGGGCGGAAGCCUGAUGCAGCAACGCCGCGUGCGGGAUGACGGCCUUCGGGUUGUAAACCGCUUUCGCCUGUGACGAAGCGUGAGUGACGGUAAUGGGUAAAGAAGCACCGGCUAACUACGUGCCAGCAGCCGCGGUGAUACGUAGGGUGCGAGCGUUGUCCGGAUUUAUUGGGCGUAAAGGGCUCGUAGGUGGUUGAUCGCGUCGGAAGUGUAAUCUUGGGGCUUAACCCUGAGCGUGCUUUCGAUACGGGUUGACUUGAGGAAGGUAGGGGAGAAUGGAAUUCCUGGUGGAGCGGUGGAAUGCGCAGAUAUCAGGAGGAACACCAGUGGCGAAGGCGGUUCUCUGGGCCUUUCCUGACGCUGAGGAGCGAAAGCGUGGGGAGCGAACAGGCUUAGAUACCCUGGUAGUCCACGCUGUAAACGGUGGGUACUAGGUGUGGGGUCCAUUCCACGGGUUCCGUGCCGUAGCUAACGCUUUAAGUACCCCGCCUGGGGAGUACGGCCGCAAGGCUAAAACUCAAAGGAAUUGACGGGGCCCCGCACAAGCGGCGGAGCAUGCGGAUUAAUUCGAUGCAACGCGUAGAACCUUACCUGGGUUUGACAUGGAUCGGGAGUGCUCAGAGAUGGGUGUGCCUCUUUUGGGGUCGGUUCACAGGUGGUGCAUGUCUGUCGUCAGCUCGUGUCGUGAGAUGUUGGGUUAAGUCCCGCAACGAGCGCAACCCUUGUUCACUGUUGCCAGCACGUUAUGGUGGGGACUCAGUGGAGACCGCCGGGGUCAACUCGGAGGAAGGUGGGGAUGACGUCAAGUCAUCAUGCCCCUUAUGUCCAGGGCUUCACGCAUGCUACAAUGGCUGGUACAGAGAGUGGCGAGCCUGUGAGGGUGAGCGAAUCUCGGAAAGCCGGUCUCAGUUCGGAUUGGGGUCUGCAACUCGACCUCAUGAAGUCGGAGUCGCUAGUAAUCGCAGAUCAGCAACGCUGCGGUGAAUAAGUUCCCGGG